This is an unclassified non-coding RNA of Mesocricetus auratus (golden hamster), 325 nucleotides long. Its record names the gene 7SK. It matches the Rfam family "7SK RNA". Rfam says of the family: 7SK was discovered as an abundant small nuclear RNA in the mid-70s but a possible function has only recently been suggested. Two independent studies have found that 7SK RNA binds the CDK9/cyclin T complex (known as elongation factor P-TEFb). P-TEFb activates transcription by phosphorylating the C-terminal domain of RNA polymerase II. The record is from Ensembl. NCBI's taxonomy places the organism in Eukaryota, Metazoa, Chordata, Mammalia, Rodentia, Cricetidae.
GGAUUUGAAAAUGAUAUGGCAGCAGUAUCUGUCAUCCCAUUGGUCUCCGGGGUUAAUUCAGCUGCUCUGCACAACUAGGUAUGCCAUUCCUCCUACACCACUCCAGGUGCAUCUUUCCUAAAGCCAACUGAUCAGUUGAAGAAGACAACCUUCCCUGCUAGGGGAGGACCAUUCUGUCCUCAGUAAAAGUAGAUGUGCUCUCCUGCUAGAACCUCCAAAGAGCGCCCCAAGAAUUGCUAACAUAAGUGAUGGGCAGGUGUGGUGCUAGUUCCUGCCACUAGAGUAUUAAGCAAUGUUGUAACCUAAUGAGAGUUACAUUUUGGCU